UGAGGAAUAUUGGUCAAUGGGUGCAAGCCUGAACCAGCCAUCCCGCGUGAAGGACGACUGCCCUAUGGGUUGUAAACUUCUUUUGUAUAGGGAUAAACCUACCUUCGUGAGGGUAGCUGAAGGUACUAUACGAAUAAGCACCGGCUAACUCCGUGCCAGCAGCCGCGGUAAUACGGAGGGUGCAAGCGUUAUCCGGAUUUAUUGGGUUUAAAGGGUCCGUAGGCGGACUUAUAAGUCAGUGGUGAAAGCCUGUCGCUUAACGAUAGAACUGCCAUUGAUACUGUAAGUCUUGAGUAUAUUUGAGGUAGCUGGAAUAAGUAGUGUAGCGGUGAAAUGCAUAGAUAUUACUUAGAACACCAAUUGCGAAGGCAGGUUACCAAGAUAUAACUGACGCUGAGGGACGAAAGCGUGGGGAGCGAACAGG
This 424-nucleotide ribosomal RNA is filed under the name uncultured bacterium. RNAcentral's name for it is "bacterial SSU rRNA". It matches the Rfam family "Bacterial small subunit ribosomal RNA", at positions 355 to 776 of the family's 1533-position model. The record is from RNAcentral.